This 429-nucleotide ribosomal RNA is filed under the name Chloroflexota bacterium. RNAcentral describes it as "Chloroflexi bacterium partial 16S ribosomal RNA". It matches the Rfam family "Bacterial small subunit ribosomal RNA", at positions 355 to 776 of the family's 1533-position model. Lineage: Bacteria; Bacillati; Chloroflexota. The record is from RNAcentral.
UGGGGAAUAUUGCACAAUGGUCGCAAGCCUGAUGCAGCCAUGCCGCGUGUAUGAAGAAGGCCUUCGGGUUGUAAAGUACUUUCAGUCGGGAGGAAGGUGGUAAGGUUAAUAACCUUAUCAAUUGACGUUACCGACAGAAGAAGCACCGGCUAACUCCGUGCCAGCAGCCGCGGUAAUACGGAGGGUGCAAGCGUUAAUCGGAAUUACUGGGCGUAAAGCGCACGCAGGCGGUUUGUUAAGUCAGAUGUGAAAUCCCCGGGCUCAACCUGGGAACUGCAUCUGAUACUGGCAAGCUUGAGUCUCGUAGAGGGGGGUAGAAUUCCAGGUGUAGCGGUGAAAUGCGUAGAGAUCUGGAGGAAUACCGGUGGCGAAGGCGGCCCCCUGGACGAAGACUGACGCUCAGGUGCGAAAGCGUGGGGAGCAAACAGG